This 473-nucleotide ribosomal RNA is filed under the name Escherichia coli. Its description in RNAcentral is "bacterial SSU rRNA". It matches the Rfam family "Bacterial small subunit ribosomal RNA", at positions 1059 to 1532 of the family's 1533-position model. Lineage: Bacteria; Pseudomonadati; Pseudomonadota; Gammaproteobacteria; Enterobacterales; Enterobacteriaceae. The record is from RNAcentral.
CUCGUGUUGUGAAAUGUUGGGUUAAGUCCCGCAACGAGCGCAACCCUUAUCCUUUGUUGCCAGCGGUCCGGCCGGGAACUCAAAGGAGACUGCCAGUGAUAAACUGGAGGAAGGUGGGGAUGACGUCAAGUCAUCAUGGCCCUUACGACCAGGGCUACACACGUGCUACAAUGGCGCAUACAAAGAGAAGCGACCUCGCGAGAGCAAGCGGACCUCAUAAAGUGCGUCGUAGUCCGGAUUGGAGUCUGCAACUCGACUCCAUGAAGUCGGAAUCGCUAGUAAUCGUGGAUCAGAAUGCCACGGUGAAUACGUUCCCGGGCCUUGUACACACCGCCCGUCACACCAUGGGAGUGGGUUGCAAAAGAAGUAGGUAGCUUAACCUUCGGGAGGGCGCUUACCACUUUGUGAUUCAUGACUGGGGUGAAGUCGUAACAAGGUAACCGUAGGGGAACCUGCGGUUGGAUCACCUCCUU